GAGUGCAAGAUACAAACAGUAUCUCAAACAUAUCUUUUAUGAUUCAGUUACUCUAUUUCUCUUAAUUUAAUUUUCAGGAAUGCAUUAUUGACUAUGUUCACUAUACAAUCACAGACAUAACAGAGAGGGCUGUACCAGAAGUCAGCUUUUUCAGCAGGAUGAGCUUCUGUGAAGACUAUGUGACUGCAGUAAAUGUGUCCUAUGAAUAUCAAUUUGUGCUUGAUCUUGAAUAUUGCUACUGGGUAUAGUUAAUGUCAGAAAUAUUUUAUAUGUAUCUCCAAAUCAGUCAUAUUGCUUAAUAGGCUUUUGUUGUUCAGUUUUGAUUGCAUAUACUUUAAUUUUGGAAUAAUGCACAAUAUAUAUGCAUAUGCAAAUUGGUUUACAGCAGAAAAGCAAGUAACUCAUCAAAUGCAAUGCAGUAACUUUCUGUAAAACUGUUUAUUGAUUAUAAUAAUGUUUAUUUGACUAUUUCAUGCACUUAUA
Molecule: long non-coding RNA, 483 nt
Filed under: Phasianus colchicus (ring-necked pheasant)
Lineage: Eukaryota; Metazoa; Chordata; Aves; Galliformes; Phasianidae
Description: lncRNA (ENSPCLG00000000186.1)
Source: RNAcentral